This 87-nucleotide transfer RNA is filed under the name Patescibacteria group bacterium. Its description in RNAcentral is "tRNA-Leu". It matches the Rfam family "tRNA". From Rfam's summary of the family: Transfer RNA (tRNA) molecules are approximately 80 nucleotides in length. Their secondary structure includes four short double-helical elements and three loops (D, anti-codon, and T loops). Further hydrogen bonds mediate the characteristic L-shaped molecular structure. tRNAs have two regions of fundamental functional importance: the anti-codon, which is responsible for specific mRNA codon recognition, and the 3' end, to which the tRNAs corresponding amino acid is attached (by aminoacyl-tRNA synthetases). tRNAs cope with the degeneracy of the genetic code in two manners: having more than one tRNA (with a specific anti-codon) for a particular amino acid; and 'wobble' base-pairing, i.e. permitting non-standard base-pairing at the 3rd anti-codon position. The record is from RNAcentral.
GCCCGAGUGGCGGAACUGGCAUACGCUACUGACUUAAGAUCAGUCGCCCGCAAGGGAUUGAGGGUUCGACUCCCUCCUCGGGCACCA